This 532-nucleotide long non-coding RNA is filed under the name Apteryx owenii (little spotted kiwi). RNAcentral describes it as "lncRNA (ENSAOWG00000012347.1)". The record is from RNAcentral. Lineage: Eukaryota; Metazoa; Chordata; Aves; Apterygiformes; Apterygidae.
AUACUGCUUUCUGUGUUGUCUUUGGAGACUUUAGAGCUGCCCCCUUAUUUUCGUCCUCUUCAGUGGAGAAAUGAAAAGGCCUGUGUGCACUUCACAGGAAAUGAAUGUCUGAUACAAGCUUGCAGACUGCACAUUUCCAAGAACUGCUCUCAAGAAACCAACCAUGCUUGCAGACUUGCCUGCCUUGAAGAGUACUCGGAACACAUCAAACUAUCUUGUGGGUUUUCUUUGGGUAAAAAACCUUUUAGCCUGUAUCAGCAAAGUGUCACGCUAAAGCAGAAAGCACAUGUCAUGGAAAAGUAUGACAAGAAACACAAAACUGAAACAUCAAAUCCAUGGAAAGGAAGAACUUGCUCUUAAGUGAAGCCUUGCAAAAUCUAGGAAAUGCUGCAUCGAAGCUCUUGAAUUUGGACCAGUUCCAGGCCUGAUGUCCAGAAACUCAUCCUUAUGGAUAGUAAAUUUAAAGAGGUAAGCUCUUUCAAGUAUCCUAAAGCAAAAGUGCACGAACAAAUCGGAUCUGAGUACUUGAAAC